Non-coding RNA from Pelobates cultripes (western spadefoot toad), 209 nucleotides. The record is from the annotation of a GenBank genome assembly. Lineage: Eukaryota; Metazoa; Chordata; Amphibia; Anura; Pelobatidae.
GCUCAGUAAAACUGACGUAGUAAAUGCUUUCAAACUACUUCCCAUUCACCCUUCACUAUGGCAUCUAUACGGCAUUAAGUGGCAUGGGUUUCUAUUAUUUUUUCACACAACUCACUUUUGGCUCCAAAAGCAGCCCCCAAAUUUUUUACACGUUUGCAGAAACUUUGUGUUGGUCAUUGCUUAAUGUGUGCAGAUGUCCUUCCGUUCAC